CGACGUAGUUGAUCAGUGGCUCAGGACGGACGCUGGCGGCGUGCCUAACACAUGCAAGUCGAACGAAGCAGGAACUUCGGUUUCUGCUUAGUGGCGGACGGGUGAGUAACGCGUGAGUAACCUGCCUUUCAGAGGGGGAUAGCGUUUGGAAACGAACGGUAAUACCGCAUGAUAUCAUUGAGCUGCAUGGCUCGAUGAUCAAAGGAGCAAUCCGCUGAAAGAUGGACUCGCGUCCGAUUAGCUAGUUGGCGGAUAACAGCCCACCAAGGCGACGAUCGGUAGCCGAACUGAGAGGUUGAUCGGCCACAUUGGGACUGAGACACGGCCCAGACUCCUACGGGAGGCAGCAGUGGGGGAUAUUGCACAAUGGAGGAAACUCUGAUGCAGCAACGCCGCGUGAGGGAAGAAGGUCUUCGGAUUGUAAACCUUUGUCUUUGGUGAAGAUAAUGACGGUAGCCAAGGAGGAAGCUCCGGCUAACUACGUG
This 485-nucleotide ribosomal RNA is filed under the name uncultured bacterium. Its description in RNAcentral is "bacterial SSU rRNA". It matches the Rfam family "Bacterial small subunit ribosomal RNA", at positions 1 to 507 of the family's 1533-position model. The record is from RNAcentral.